This 566-nucleotide ribosomal RNA is filed under the name Leptammina flavofusca. RNAcentral describes it as "partial 18S ribosomal RNA". The stretch from base 1 to 462 matches the Rfam family "Eukaryotic small subunit ribosomal RNA", at positions 1220 to 1501 of the family's 1831-position model. The record is from RNAcentral. Lineage: Eukaryota; Foraminifera; Astrorhizida; Saccamminidae.
GGGUCCGGACACACUGAGGAUUGACAGGCAAUUAUUGCUAACAGUGUCUUUUUUUUUAAAAGUACUGUUGCAACAACAAAUAUGCUAGUCCUUUCAUGAUUAUGUGAUAGGUGGUGCAUGGCCGUUCUUAGUUCGUGGAGUGAUCUGUCUGCUUAAUUGCGUUUCAUUAUGGACCAUGUUAUAACAUGUACUAUCUCUUGAUUUUCAAAUUUUCAUUUAUUUGAGAUUUGUUAUAAAGAAGGAGUUUUGGUGCAAUUGGUCCUGAAAGCAACGAACGUGACCGCAUCCUCUUGUUGCCUUUUUAACUUGGCAUUUUUUUUAAUUUAUUUUAACAUUUUUGUCAUAACAUAAGAGGCUUUCAGAAAACUAGAGGGACCGCUGCGACUUUUUUAAACCAGAGGAAGGUUGCGGCAAUAACAGGUCUGUGAUGCCCUUAGAUGUUCCGGGCUGCACACGUGCUACAAUGAUUAUUGCAGUGAGCAUCUCAUUUUAUUUUUUGUGCUUGUCUUGUCUGCGAGUUUAUUCUCAACGACGACAGCCUUAGCCUGCUUCGAAAGUUCGCAGGU